UACGUAGGGUGCGAGCGUGUCCGGAAUUAUUGGGCGUAAAGAGCUUGUAGGCGGUUUGUCGCGUCUGCCGUGAAAAUUCGAGGCUCAACCUCGAACUUGCGGUGGGUACGGGCAGACUAGAGUGUGGUAGGGGAGACUGGAAUUCCUGGUGUAGCGGUGAAAUGCGCAGAUAUCAGGAGGAACACCGAUGGCGAAGGCAGGUCUCUGGGCCACUACUGACGCUGAGAAGCGAAAGCAUGGGGAGCGAACAGGAUAGAUACC
Molecule: ribosomal RNA, 261 nt
Filed under: uncultured bacterium
Lineage: Bacteria
Description: partial 16S ribosomal RNA
Rfam family: Bacterial small subunit ribosomal RNA
Source: RNAcentral